CAUCCACCUCCAUAACUUUAUACGGGCCAUUCCAUUGAUCUUCCAGUUUAUGCCCUUUCUUUGUUUUCUGUAGCAUGUUACGAAGCAAGACAGUAUCUCCAUCCUUGAAUUGGCAUACAGGAAAUAAGUCCUAAAUGAAAACAUCAAAGAUUUGUAAAAUAUGAUUGUCAUUUUAAAAUUUUCAUGUUAUUACUGUUGCACUUGUUAAUAUAUUUUUAUUACAUUUAUAACAUUCUUCAAUUUGGUUAUUUUGUAAUAGAUUUAUAGUUUACCAUUACAACUGUGUCUUUGUAACAA
Molecule: long non-coding RNA, 297 nt
Organism: Xenia sp. Carnegie-2017
Lineage: Eukaryota; Metazoa; Cnidaria; Anthozoa; Malacalcyonacea; Xeniidae
Exons: 3
Source: RefSeq, a predicted model, not a curated record